CACGUAGGGCGCGAGCGUUGUCCGGAAUUAUUGGGCGUAAAGAGCUCGUAGGCGGCCUGUUGCGUCCGCUGUGAAAGCCCGGGGCUUAACCCCGGGUCGGCAGUGGAUACGGGCAGGCUAGAGGUAGGUAGGGGAGAAUGGAAUUCCCGGUGUAGCGGUGAAAUGCGCAGAUAUCGGGAGGAACACCGGUGGCGAAGGCGGAUCUCUGGGCCUUACCUGACGCUCAGGUGCGAAAGCUAGGGGAGCGAACAGG
This 253-nucleotide ribosomal RNA is filed under the name uncultured bacterium. Its description in RNAcentral is "partial 16S ribosomal RNA". It matches the Rfam family "Bacterial small subunit ribosomal RNA", at positions 524 to 776 of the family's 1533-position model. The record is from RNAcentral.